This 460-nucleotide ribosomal RNA is filed under the name uncultured bacterium. RNAcentral's name for it is "partial 16S ribosomal RNA". It matches the Rfam family "Bacterial small subunit ribosomal RNA", at positions 338 to 795 of the family's 1533-position model. The record is from RNAcentral.
CCUACGGGUGGCAGCAGUGAGGAAUAUUGGUCAAUGGACGGAAGCCUGAACCAGCCAUGCCGCGUGCGGGAAGACGGCUCUAUGAAUUGUAAACUGCUUUUGUACGAGGGCAAAUCCCGAUACGUGUAUCGGGUUGAAAGUAUCGUACGAAUAAGGAUCGGCUAACUCCGUGCCAGCAGCCGCGGUAAUACGGAGGAUUCGAGCGUUAUCCGGAUUUAUUGGGUUUAAAGGGUGCGUAGGCGGUUCGAAAAGUUAGGGGUGAAAUCCCGGGGCUCAACUGCGGCACUGCCUUUGAUACUGUCGGGCUAGAGUGUGGUUGCGGUAGGCGGAAUGUAUGGUGUAGCGGUGAAAUGCAUAGAGAUCAUACAGAACACCGAUUGCGAAGGCAGCUUACGAAACUGCGACUGACGUUGAGGCACGAAAGCGUGGGGAGCAAACAGGAUUAGAUACCCCAGUAGUC